CCUACGGGUGGCAGCAGUCGAGAAUCAUUCACAAUGGGGGAAACCCUGAUGGUGCGACGCCGCGUGGGGGAAUGAAGGUCUUCGGAUUGUAAACCCCUGUCAUGUGGAAGCAAAUUAAAAAGAUAGUAACACAAGAGUAAGAGACGGCUAACUCUGUGCCAGCAGCCGCGGUAAUACGGAGGUCUCAAGCGUUGUUCGGAAUCACUGGGCGUAAAGCGUUCGUAGGCUGUUUCGUAAGUCGUGUGUGAAAGGCGCAGGCUCAACCCGAGGACGGCACAUGAUACUGCGAGACUAGAGUAAUGAAGAGGGGACCGGAAGUCUCGGUGUAGCAGUGAAAUGCGUAGAUACCGGGAGGAACACUAGUGGCGAAGGCGGGUUCCUGGACAUUAACUGACGCUGAGGCACGAAGGCCAGGGGAGCGAAAGGGAUUAGAUACCCGUGUAGUC
RNAcentral lists this ribosomal RNA (446 nucleotides) under uncultured bacterium. RNAcentral describes it as "partial 16S ribosomal RNA". It matches the Rfam family "Bacterial small subunit ribosomal RNA", at positions 338 to 795 of the family's 1533-position model. The record is from RNAcentral.